CUUCCAAGGUGAUUAUGUUAGG
Molecule: non-coding RNA, 22 nt
Filed under: Arabidopsis thaliana (thale cress)
Lineage: Eukaryota; Viridiplantae; Streptophyta; Magnoliopsida; Brassicales; Brassicaceae
Source: RNAcentral